CCUACGGGAGGCAGCAGUGAGGAAUAUUGGUCAAUGGGCGCGAGCCUGAACCAGCCAAGUAGCGUGAAGGAUGACUGCCCUACGGGUUGUAAACUUCUUUUAUGAAGAAAUAAAGUGAGGCACGUGUGCCUUUUUGUAUGUACUUUAUGAGUAAGGAUCGGCUAACUCCGUGCCAGCAGCCGCGGUAAUACGGAGGAUCCGAUCGUUAUCCGGAUUUAUUGGGUUUAAAGGGAGCGUAGAUGGGUUGUUAAGUCAGUUGUGAAAGUUUGGGGCUCAACCGGAAAAUUGCAAUUGAUACUGGCAGCCUUGAGUACAGUUGAGGUAGGCGGAAUUCGUGGUGUAGCGGUGAAAUGCUUAGAUAUCACGAAGAACACCGAUUGCGAAGGCAGCCUACUAAACGGCCACUGACAUUGAUGCUCGAAAGUGUGGGUAGCAAACAGGAUUAGAUACCCCAGUAGUC
This 460-nucleotide ribosomal RNA is filed under the name uncultured bacterium. Its description in RNAcentral is "partial 16S ribosomal RNA". It matches the Rfam family "Bacterial small subunit ribosomal RNA", at positions 338 to 795 of the family's 1533-position model. The record is from RNAcentral.